GGCAUAGCAGCUGCAGGCCAUUGGCAAGGCCAGAAGACGGAUAUAUUAUUCAACCCAUCCACAAGAGCAUCUCUCCAGGAGAAAUAAACAGGCGUUACUUUUGAUGAACUAGAGCUAUUCUAAGUAAAGCCUUCAGAUGAGUUCAGCACCAAUCAACAUUCUGAAUGCAACCACGUGAGGACCCUGAGUCAGGUCCACUGAGUCAAGCUGCUUUGGAAUUCCUGACCUACAGAAACCGAAUACCAGGAUAGAGAGAAAGAGAAGCCACAAUGAUACCACAGAAAGAAAGCUAGACAUCUUCAUUCAGGUGAGAGAAAGAGUGGAAGAAGAGAAAACUAAUCCAGUGCUGGAUGCUUCCUUCUGCUCCUCCUGCCCUUUGACAUCAGAUUCAAGGUUCUUUGGCCUCUGGACUUGGGACUUGCACCAGUGGCUUGCCAGGGGCUCUUGGGCCUUUGGCCACAGACUGAAGGCUGCACCGUCAGCUUCCUUGGUUUUGAGGCUUUCAGUCUUGGACUGAGCACUGGCUUCUCUCUUCCCUAGCUUACAGACAGCCUGUCGUGGGACUUUGGCUUGUAAUUAUGUGAGCCAAUUUUCCCUAAUAAACUCUCUUUCAUGUAUACAUAUAUCCUAUU
Molecule: long non-coding RNA, 632 nt
Filed under: Homo sapiens (human)
Lineage: Eukaryota; Metazoa; Chordata; Mammalia; Primates; Hominidae
Description: HSALNT0281069
Source: RNAcentral